CACCUUGCGCAGUGGCAAUAUCGUAACCAAUGAAGGCCUCCUGAGGUGCGAUUAUUGCUAGUUGGAUGGAUGUAAACAUACUUUAAAAUAAAUAUUUAUGAAUUUUCUUUUUUCAUUUACGGUGA
This 125-nucleotide small nuclear RNA is filed under the name Rhodnius prolixus. RNAcentral's name for it is "U4 spliceosomal RNA". It matches the Rfam family "U4 spliceosomal RNA". From Rfam's summary of the family: U4 small nuclear RNA (U4 snRNA) is a component of the major U2-dependent spliceosome. The structure of U4 snRNA from yeast and human has been reported. Lineage: Eukaryota; Metazoa; Arthropoda; Insecta; Hemiptera; Reduviidae. The record is from Rfam by way of RNAcentral.